CCUACGGGAGGCAGCAGUGAGGAAUAUUGGUCAAUGGGCGCGAGCCUGAACCAGCCAAGUCGCGUGAGGGAAGACGGUCCUAUGGAUUGUAAACCUCUUUUGUCGGGGAGCAAAAGACGCCACGCGUGGCGUUCCGAGAGUACCCGAAGAAAAAGCAUCGGCUAACUCCGUGCCAGCAGCCGCGGUAAUACGGAGGAUGCGAGCGUUAUCCGGAUUUAUUGGGUUUAAGGGGUGCGCAGGCGGAAGAUCAAGUCAGUGGUAAAAUUGAGAGGCUCAACCUCUUCGAGCCGUUGAAACUGGUUGUCUUGAGUGAGUGAGAAGUAUGCGGAAUGCGUGGUGUAGCGGUGAAAUGCAUAGAUAUCACGCAGAACUCCGAUUGCGAAGGCAGCAUACCGGCGCUCAACUGACGCUCAUGCACGAAAGUGUGGGUAUCGAACAGGAUUAGAUACCCGAGUAGUC
Molecule: ribosomal RNA, 459 nt
Filed under: uncultured bacterium
Lineage: Bacteria
Description: partial 16S ribosomal RNA
Rfam family: Bacterial small subunit ribosomal RNA
Source: RNAcentral